This 1901-nucleotide long non-coding RNA is filed under the name Malus domestica (apple). RNAcentral's name for it is "long non-coding RNA (MDOM_LNC008269)". The record is from RNAcentral. Lineage: Eukaryota; Viridiplantae; Streptophyta; Magnoliopsida; Rosales; Rosaceae.
CCUAAGAGCUAGGUGCAGUCAAGUAGGACCAUAAUUAAAUUACAACACCCGCAGGUGAGUCCUACAUGCAGGACAUCUGUCAGAACGCCGAAGAAAACCUCGUGAGAAACCAACUGCUAACUAGAACCUGGAGGGGCGCAAAAACAAAAUUGAGUGGGUCAGUAACACCAAAGUUUUCCAAAACAUUUCAUUUAAAACAUUUCUAACCCCUCACUGUAAAACCUGUAUACUUCCCCAGAAAAUAUCAUAAUAGUAUAUAAAUCCUCAUAUGUCACAAAUCAUCAAUCUAGCACAAAUCCAGAAAUAUGCCAUGCCAUAAAUGUCAAUAACGAAACAUGGAUGCAUCAAAAUAACAGGUGACAUAAUGAAUCAACCGGAGACCCUGCAGUUGGUCCUGUACGGUUAAUUCCAUAGCUCAAUAUCCAACCCAGCUGGAGUUACCACGGUGACCUAUACGGCACUACUAUGCACAUAAAUCGGAACUACCUAAAAUAGUCUGUACGAUAAGAAAGGUGUAAGAAUACGCUCUAGUGCUUCUCUCAUCAAUCAUUUGCGCGCAUAAUCUAAGGUCACCUACUAGUCGGAACCACCUCUAGUGGUCUGUACGACUAGCAUGUCGGAACCCUCUCAUGGUCUGUACGACUAGCACCUACUUGGAUCCAAGAUGAGCGUGCGGUGCGGUGAAUAAUAUAAGCACUAACACCAGGGGUGCAGGUUAUGAGCUCUCAACACAAUUCACAUCAUCAAUGAUUCACAUGAAUAACAUAAACUCACUUGAUAUUCACAUGAAUAACAUAAACUCACUUGAUAUUCACAUGUGCGUCCACAGCACCAAUUCACAUAUAUAUGCAUCAAUUAUCAAUUCAUAUAACUCAUAAUAUGCAUGCAUGGCAUUUGAAACAUACUUUCAUAUAAAUUCAAUUUCUGGGAAAAUCAAUAACAUAUAGGUAUAUACGGAAAACAAAACUGCCCACUCACUGGUAAGUCGAUGGGUCGUAACCCCCGUGACGUCCCUGGAUGCGCUCGUCCUCGGGAUAGGUGUCACCUAUAUGCGAAACAACUAUAACAACGUUAAUUAAAGCACAUAACCAACAAAUCGAAAUAACUUCUCAUACGAUGCUCAACUUGGGUAUACGAAUAUACCACAUCGACCUACUCGACGUCACGGACGUCGAGAAAUUUUUAGAAAAAUUUCUGAAGCUGCACACGCCCCCACGCGCCUGGCAGGCAUGGGUUCACGCGCCCCCCACGCGCUUGGGCAGGCAUGGGUUCACGCGCCCCCCACGUGCGUCUCCUACCUCGGUUCGCCGGACUGAGUUUUCCGGUGGCCGGAAAACUGGAGAUUUUUCAAUCUCCUUGUUCUCCGUCGUUUCUCAACCAUUUUCUUCGUAUUUUAUAUCAAAAUGAAGCCCUAAACAUGUAGUUUCAUGUUAUACUACUUUAAGGCUCUAAAAACUACGAAAUCUCACCGGAGAAAUUCCAAGAAAACCGGCCAAUUUCGAACCCAGUGAUCCCGACGUCCAAAACCUUUAAACGAAGCACUCCGAGCUUCCUUGGGACCUCACUAAGCUCACUAUAAGCUUAGAAUUCCCUGAAAAUCAACAUAUCACGAUUGCAUGAACAGUGACAUAAAAUGGGGGUUCGGGUUUCACGUGAUUUCGAAGGUUUCACGUUCUAAAACUAGUACCAAACGAUUUAGGAGGUCGAAAGGAUGAAAAACCAUACCUUUUUGGCGUCGAUCCGUGAAAGUUUGAGGGUAUUGACCCUUGUCCGUACAAUUCGAGAGGGAGAGAGAGACUGAACGGAGAAGAGAGAGAGAGGCACGGGGGAGGGAGAGAGAAGGGUUGACUGUGUGUGUGUGUUGUGUGGUCCACCUCAAACCAUCACCAUCCAUUUAAUUU